Long non-coding RNA from Gopherus agassizii (Agassiz's desert tortoise), 1305 nucleotides. The record is from Ensembl. Lineage: Eukaryota; Metazoa; Chordata; Testudines; Testudinidae.
GUUUUGCAUUCCCUCCACCAGUUUUACAGUCAAUAAUAAUAUUUAUCAUUGGCUUUUUUUUAGCAAACACCUUGAAUUUCACAAUUUCCUUCCACAAAAGAACAAUUUUAGCAGUGACAUAAUUUUAACGGAGCAACUGAGCACCCUGAGCUGAGAGCUCAGAAGGCAGGACCCUCUGGAGCGCCAGGGCAUGGUGACAGUCUGCGUGGACCUGCUGCCUCACACCCCUGCCCGUCGGAGUUCUCUGAUUGGGGGCUUUCUCUUUAAGCAAUGGAAGGAGAAGUUCCUUUUCCUCUCCAUGGACGGGAGCCUCCUGAUCUGCCGUGAUGCCCAGUCCCCGGCCGAGCUGGGCAUCUCACUUAGCACCAGCUGCCAGGCCAUCCUGGAGGGCAGCGAGAUCUGCGAUCUGCCCCGCCUGCCCCUGGGAGCCCAGCGGGACAGCUGCUUGGGCCUCAGCCUCAGUGAUGGGAAGUUCCUUCUGCUGCUGGCCCCAGACAGCCAGGAGUGCAGAGCUUCUCCCAAGGGUCCCCAGCGAGGUGCAAGCUGCACAUCGACUCUCCGUCUAGGAAAUGCUGCUGGAGAGAAGGGGGAGGAGGUUCUCCUGGCACCCAGAACAGAGGAGCCACCAGGAGCAGCCUGUGCAAGGAGACUUGCUCACCCCGUUGCCUGCGCCACGGCUCCCAGAUGCAUGCGGGGGUGAAGGCUGCCUGCCUGCUGAUGGGGGGAGCAGCAGCUGGCCCCACCAUGGGCUACAUGGUGACCUCGGCCACGGCCAGCCGGCCUGGGGAGAUGCACCCCCUCGACUUCAAAGAACUGGGCUAUCACCCGUCCACCUGCGAUGCUGAUGCCUCCCAGUAUGAGAUGCUGGAUUACGAAGGGCUGGACCAGGACUUCGACGCGCUGGACUUCGGGGGAUUUGCCUUCUAGACACACACAGUUCUCCCCCUGCCCAGAUUUAAAGGGCUAAACAGAGAUUGGGUGGGCCUGAUUUCCUCAGAAAUUAGUCACCCCCCAGCUCAGAGUGGCAGCGCAUUACGCAGCCUUACACUGGUGUCACAGGGGAGGGCAGGCGGGGGGUGAGGGGGUUAAUAGGGAUAUUUUCUCUUCUCCCAAGAUGGGGAUUUGUUUGUUUGUUUGUUGUUUUUUUAAUCUCUCCCCCCACCAUGUCUGACUGUCCUCAACACUCAGGUUUCCCGUGUGCCCCUGCUGCCGUGGUGACUCGGGCUUGACUCUUGCCCUUGAUUAUGUUCCCUCCCCCCACUAAUGUUACCUUGGGGUAACUCAUGGCAGGAUCACCCCCCCCCC